GAUGAACGCUGGCGGCGUGCCUAAUACAUGCAAGUCGAGCGAACAGACGAGGAGCUUGCUCCUCUGACGUUAGCGGCGGACGGGUGAGUAACACGUGGAUAACCUACCUAUAAGACUGGGAUAACUUCGGGAAACCGGAGCUAAUACCGAUAAUAUAUUGAACCGCAUGGUUCAAUAGGGAAAGACGGUUUUGCUGUCCCUUAUAGAUGGAUCCGCGCCGCAUUAGCUAGUUGGUAAGGUAACGGCUUACCAAGGCAACGAUGCGUAGCCGACCUGAGAGGGUGAUCGACCACACUGGAACUGAGCCACGGUCCAGACUCCUACGGGGGGCAGCAGUAGGGAAUCUUCCGCAAGGGACGAAAGCCUGACGGAGCAACGCCGCGUGAGUGAUGAAGGUCUGCGGAUCGUAAAACUCUGUUAUUAGGGAAGAACAAAUGUGUAAGUAACUAUGCACGUCUUGACGGUACCUAAUCAGAAAGCCACGGCUAACUACGUG
This 496-nucleotide ribosomal RNA is filed under the name uncultured bacterium. Its description in RNAcentral is "partial 16S ribosomal RNA". It matches the Rfam family "Bacterial small subunit ribosomal RNA", at positions 28 to 507 of the family's 1533-position model. The record is from RNAcentral.